GGGACACUCUUCCAGACUGAAAGCCCUCAGUCUGGCAGCAUUCUAACAGAGGAGACUGAGGUCAAGGGCACCCUGGAAGGUGAUGUUUGUGGUGUGGAGCCUCCUGGCCCAGGAGACACAGUAGUCCAGGGAGACCUGCAGGAGACCACUGUGGUGACAGGCCUGGGACCAGACACACAGGACCUGGAAGGCCAGAGCCCUCCACAGAGCCUGCCUUCAACCCCCAAAG
RNAcentral lists this long non-coding RNA (229 nucleotides) under Pan troglodytes (chimpanzee). Its description in RNAcentral is "long non-coding RNA NONPTRT001288". The record is from RNAcentral. Lineage: Eukaryota; Metazoa; Chordata; Mammalia; Primates; Hominidae.